GCCCGGCGGUACCUGGGCGCCGGUACCUCGGCGCCCGAGAGCUGAGGCUGGCGGUCUGUCUGAGCGGCGGGAUCCGGAAGGGAGAAAACUACGGAAUUGCAACUUGAAAAGGUAGUGUGUGGAAGAGGAGGUCCCAGGCGGCGUGGACCCCCGAGAAGACUGGGACCAGGCAGCUGCCGCGGCGUGGGCUACUGGGGCUCCUCCGGCCUCCCAGUCGGUCGCACGCCGGUGCCCCCGCCCAUCGCGCCAGCUGCAGACCAGUCCUAGGAGCUGACUUUUGAAGUUGAGAGCUUCCUGCAGUCUCGGGGCACCAGGGAGCAUGCUGUGUCCUGGGGCUGGCCACAGGCGAAGGUUCCCCCCAAGCACUGGAUAUCAGCCACUCACCUGCAGUGACAGACCAACAUGAAAGACAACUGACGGUGCUGUUAAAACAUUGAAAUCCAGAGACAGGAGAGAUUCCCAACCCCAUUCUGGAGGUGGCGUGAAGGAUCUGUGCCAGGCCUCCAACACAGAGCAGGCUCUGCCAUUAAGCUGAGACAACCUCGAGAUAAGACAGCCCUAACUGCUCACGAGGAGGAAAGAGCUGGAUUGUACUGAAGACUCGUUCCUGAUGAGUCACCAGGA
Long non-coding RNA from Budorcas taxicolor (takin), 624 nucleotides. RefSeq lists it as uncharacterized. NCBI's taxonomy places the organism in Eukaryota, Metazoa, Chordata, Mammalia, Artiodactyla, Bovidae. The record is from RefSeq and is a predicted model, not a curated record. The transcript has 3 exons.